RNAcentral lists this ribosomal RNA (52 nucleotides) under Trichophyton tonsurans. Its description in RNAcentral is "partial 28S ribosomal RNA". Lineage: Eukaryota; Fungi; Ascomycota; Eurotiomycetes; Onygenales; Arthrodermataceae. The record is from RNAcentral.
GGYYGACCUCGGAUCAGGUAGGGAUACCCGCUGAACUUAAGCAUAUCAAUAA